UACGUAGGGACCAAGCGUUGUUCGGAUUUACUGGGCGUAAAGGGCGCGUAGGCGGCGUGGUAAGUCAGCUGUGAAAUCUCCGAGCUUAACUCGGAACGGUCAGCUGAUACUGCUGUGCUAGAGUACAGAAAGGGCAAUCGGAAUUCUUGGUGUAGCGGUGAAAUGCGUAGAUAUCAAGAGGAACACCUGAGGCGAAGGCGGGUUGCUAGGCUGAUACUGACGCUGAGGCGCGAAAGCUAGGGUAGCAAACGGG
Molecule: ribosomal RNA, 253 nt
Filed under: uncultured bacterium
Lineage: Bacteria
Also listed under: 1 other name
Description: partial 16S ribosomal RNA
Rfam family: Bacterial small subunit ribosomal RNA
Source: RNAcentral